RNAcentral lists this ribosomal RNA (468 nucleotides) under uncultured bacterium. RNAcentral's name for it is "partial 16S ribosomal RNA". It matches the Rfam family "Bacterial small subunit ribosomal RNA", at positions 28 to 507 of the family's 1533-position model. The record is from RNAcentral.
GACGAACGCUGGCGGCGUGCUUAACACAUGCAAGUCGAACGGAAAGGCCCUGCUUUUGUGGGGUGCUCGAGUGGCGAACGGGUGAGUAACACGUGAGUAACCUGCCCUUGACUUUGGGAUAACUUCAGGAAACUGGGGCUAAUACCGGAUAGGAGCUCCUGCUGCAUGGUGGGGGUUGGAAAGUUUCGGCGGUUGGGGAUGGACUCGCGGCUUAUCAGCUUGUUGGUGGGGUAGUGGCUUACCAAGGCUUUGACGGGUAGCCGGCCUGAGAGGGUGACCGGACACAUUGGGACUGGGAUACGGCCCAGACUCCUACGGGAGGCAGCAGUGGGGAAUAUUGCACAGUGGGCGGAAGCCUGAUGCAGCAACGCCGCGUGCGGGAUGACGGCAUUCGGGUUGUAAACCGCUUUCGCCUGUGACGAAGCGUGAGUGACGGUAAUGGGUAAAGAAGCACCGGCUAACUACGUG